GGGUCAGUAGGUUGGUCGUGCCACCGGUACGUACUGGUCUCACUGAUUCCUACGUCCUGAAGAACCGUAAUGCCAUUAAUUUGGUGUUGCGGGGAAACAGGACUGUUACUCUGAAAAAAUUAGAGUGUUUAAAGCAAGCUAACGCUUGAAUACAUUAGCAUGGAAUAAUGAAAUAGGACGAUCGAUCCUAUUUUGUUGGUUUCUAGGAUUGACGUA
RNAcentral lists this ribosomal RNA (216 nucleotides) under Glomeromycotina sp. Its description in RNAcentral is "partial small subunit ribosomal RNA". The stretch from base 40 to 216 matches the Rfam family "Eukaryotic small subunit ribosomal RNA", at positions 686 to 864 of the family's 1831-position model. The record is from RNAcentral. Lineage: Eukaryota; Fungi; Glomeromycota.